This 737-nucleotide long non-coding RNA is filed under the name Elaeis guineensis (African oil palm). RNAcentral's name for it is "long non-coding RNA (EGUI_LNC036414)". Lineage: Eukaryota; Viridiplantae; Streptophyta; Magnoliopsida; Arecales; Arecaceae. The record is from RNAcentral.
CUGUGCCCACCUGUAAAAGGAUGCUAGGAUGGGUGUGAGACCACAAAGGCAAAAGAUAGAAUGUUCCAAAAGGAGAGCAAAACCUCCUUGAAAGCAAAGAGAGGGAGAGAAAAAUACACUGCGGGAUGAUGUGUACGUAAGUGCGUGAGAUUCCAAAGGGCAUUUCACAAGACUUAGCGUGCAAAUAAUAGCGACCUUAGGCUGAUGCGUUCUUGGUCUCGGAGUCUUUGGCUCUCUAGCAUCCAAGCCCACAACAAGAACAAGAAAAGCUAGUUCAGAGCCAGAAGAACUUCUGGGUGGCUGGUCUCUUCACUGAGGUAUUUAACUAUACCUGUGAUCUUUUAGUUUCUUUAGAUGGACAUGUCUAUGGAGUUAGUUUUCAUCUUCUUCCUUCCUUUUUCUCCUUUAGUGGUUUUUGAUGGAAAAUGCACCAAAAGCAAAGCAUUCUGUGUGGUGAAUUGCUAUGAAUCAAGGAAAUUUAAGUAGGAUAAUCUAGGUUCAUUUUGAUGAAAGCUCGCAAGCCUUGGGGUUCUUAUAGAUGUAAUAGGGGCCCAUCAUGCUUGCCAGUAACUAAAGCCAGACUCAAAUGACUCAUAAAUGCAGAAGAAGUAGAAGAAGAUGGAUCCAUAGGAAUUGUUAGAAACAAGCAGAUUGUUAAGCAUGUCUGGCCAGUCUCGAAAUUAUAUUCUAAAAAUAGUGCCUCAGGGAUUUUAUUUUUACUCCUUGUAUUAAACUUC